This 490-nucleotide ribosomal RNA is filed under the name uncultured Alphaproteobacteria bacterium. RNAcentral describes it as "bacterial SSU rRNA". It matches the Rfam family "Bacterial small subunit ribosomal RNA", at positions 90 to 615 of the family's 1533-position model. Lineage: Bacteria; Pseudomonadati; Pseudomonadota; Alphaproteobacteria. The record is from RNAcentral.
GGGGAGUGGCAGACGGGUGAGUAACACGUGGGAACGUACCCUUCGGUUCGGAAUAACUCAGGGAAACUUGAGCUAAUACCGGAUACGUCCGAGAGGAGAAAGAUUUAUCGCCGAAGGAUCGGCCCGCGUCUGAUUAGCUUGUUGGUGAGGUAACGGCUCACCAAGGCGACGAUCAGUAGCUGGUCUGAGAGGAUGAUCAGCCACAUUGGGACUGAGACACGGCCCAAACUCCUACGGGAGGCAGCAGUGGGGAAUAUUGGACAAUGGGCGCAAGCCUGAUCCAGCCAUGCCGCGUGAGUGAUGAAGGCCUUAGGGUUGUAAAGCUCUUUUACCUGGGAAGAUAAUGACGGUACCAGGAGAAUAAGCCCCGGCUAACUUCGUGCCAGCAGCCGCGGUAAUACGAGGGGGGCUAGCGUUGUUCGGAUUUACUGGGCGUAAAGCGCACGUAGGCGGAUCUUUAAGUCAGAGGUGAAAGCCUGGAGCUCAACUC